AUGACCUUGACUAUUUUGUGCCUCUUUCUUUUGUCCUGAAAGGGAUAAAAACUGAUAUGGAAGCCCAGCUACCCGGCCUGUUCUGUUAGAUAAACACUUGGAUUUAUCUUGCCCUUGUGAUACAGAGUGUGGCAUCACAGAAAGACUUGUAUCCUUAUUGAUGGAACUAUUUGCAGUUGAAGUUGAGCAACUAACUUCUUCAGGUCUAGAAAUAUAUAACGGUGUAUCCAU
RNAcentral lists this long non-coding RNA (231 nucleotides) under Sorghum bicolor (sorghum). Its description in RNAcentral is "long non-coding RNA (SBIC_LNC000961)". The record is from RNAcentral. Lineage: Eukaryota; Viridiplantae; Streptophyta; Magnoliopsida; Poales; Poaceae.